AUUAAUUCAUACAGCAAUGUGCAAAAAUUCUUUUAAACGUAUUGGGCACAUUCUUAUGCAAGCAAAUAAAAAAUGUCAUAUUGCCAAAGGCUUGUGCAAGAGAUGAAGAUUCAACAGAACUCGGAAGCAGAUCUUUGCAACUUCACUGGCCACAUAGGCCAGCGUUCAGGACUAAAAUAAUUAAAGUUAAUGGCUUGAGUACCUAAAAUUUUCAACAGAUAUUGUAUCUUACAUAUGCACUUGUAGAUAAAAUAUUUUGAUCAUUUGUAAUGAACUUAAAUGUCAA
Molecule: long non-coding RNA, 286 nt
Organism: Xenia sp. Carnegie-2017
Lineage: Eukaryota; Metazoa; Cnidaria; Anthozoa; Malacalcyonacea; Xeniidae
Exons: 2
Source: RefSeq, a predicted model, not a curated record